GAGUUUGAUCCUGGCUCAGAUUGAACGCUGGCGGCAGGCCUAACACAUGCAAGUCGAGCGGUAGAGAGAAGCUUGCUUCUCUUGAGAGCGGCGGACGGGUGAGUAAUGCCUAGGAAUCUGCCUGGUAGUGGGGGAUAACGCUCGGAAACGGACGCUAAUACCGCAUACGUCCUACGGGAGAAAGCAGGGGACCUUCAGGCCUUGCGCUAUCAGAUGAGCCUAGGUCGGAUUAGCUAGUUGGUGAGGUAAUGGCUCACCAAGGCGACGAUCCGUAACUGGUCUGAGAGGAUGAUCAGUCACACUGGAACUGAGACACGGUCCAGACUCCUACGGGAGGCAGCAGUGGGGAAUAUUGGACAAUGGGCGAAAGCCUGAUCCAGCCAUGCCGCGUGUGUGAAGAAGGUCUUCGGAUUGUAAAGCACUUUAAGUU
Molecule: ribosomal RNA, 430 nt
Filed under: uncultured bacterium
Lineage: Bacteria
Description: bacterial SSU rRNA
Rfam family: Bacterial small subunit ribosomal RNA
Source: RNAcentral